RNAcentral lists this ribosomal RNA (99 nucleotides) under uncultured bacterium. Its description in RNAcentral is "partial 16S ribosomal RNA". It matches the Rfam family "Bacterial small subunit ribosomal RNA", at positions 257 to 353 of the family's 1533-position model. The record is from RNAcentral.
GUAACGGCCCACCAAGGCGACGAUCAGUAGCCGGCCUGAGAGGGUGAACGGCCACAUUGGGACUGAGACACGGCCCAAACUCCUACGGGAGGCAGCAUG